Molecule: ribosomal RNA, 466 nt
Filed under: uncultured bacterium
Lineage: Bacteria
Description: partial 16S ribosomal RNA
Rfam family: Bacterial small subunit ribosomal RNA
Source: RNAcentral
GAUGAACGCUGGCGGCGUGCUUAACACAUGCAAGUCGAACGGAAAGGCCCAAGCUUGCUUGGGUACUCGAGUGGCGAACGGGUGAGUAAAACGUGGGUGAUCUGCCCUGCACUUCGGGAUAAGCCUGGGAAACUGGGUCUAAUAUCGGAUAGGACCACAUUUUGGAUGGUGUGGUGGAAAGUUUUUCGGUGUGGGAUGAGCUCGCGGCGUAUCAGCUUGUUGGUGGGGUAAUGGCCUACCAAGGCGUCGACGGGUAGCCGGCCGGAGAGGGUGUACGGCCACAUUGGGACUGAGAUACGGCCCAGGCUCGGACGGGAGGCAGCAGGGGGGAAGAUUGCACAAGGGGCGCAGGCCGGAUGCAGAGAGGCCGCGUGGGGGAGGACGGCCUUCGGGUUGUAGACUCCUUGCGCUAGGGACGAAGCGUUAUGUGACGGUACCUGGAGAAGAAGCACCGGCUAACUACGUG